Molecule: ribosomal RNA, 367 nt
Filed under: uncultured Halomonas sp.
Lineage: Bacteria; Pseudomonadati; Pseudomonadota; Gammaproteobacteria; Oceanospirillales; Halomonadaceae
Description: bacterial SSU rRNA
Rfam family: Bacterial small subunit ribosomal RNA
Source: RNAcentral
AGUAAUGCAUAGGAAUCUGCCCGGUAGUGGGGGAUAACCUGGGGAAACCCAGGCUAAUACCGCAUACGUCCUACGGGAGAAAGCAGGGGAUCUUCGGACCUUGCGCUAUCGGAUGAGCCUAUGUCGGAUUAGCUUGUUGGUGAGGUAAUGGCUCACCAAGGCGACGAUCCGUAGCUGGUCUGAGAGGAUGAUCAGCCACAUCGGGACUGAGACACGGCCCGAACUCCUACGGGAGGCAGCAGUGGGGAAUAUUGGACAAUGGGCGAAAGCCUGAUCCAGCCAUGCCGCGUGUGUGAAGAAGGCUUUCGGGUUGUAAAGCACUUUCAGUGAGGAAGAAGGCCUUGGGGCUAAUACCCCCGAGGAAGGA